RNAcentral lists this long non-coding RNA (12792 nucleotides) under Zea mays. RNAcentral's name for it is "long non-coding RNA (ZMAY_LNC002787)". The record is from RNAcentral. Lineage: Eukaryota; Viridiplantae; Streptophyta; Magnoliopsida; Poales; Poaceae.
UCUCCCUACAAGACCUUCGGCGACGAAGCAUAGUCCCAACAACACCUUUUUCCGCCAUACAGUUGCCACAAUAUCAUAGAAACGUCAUUUGAGGUUUAAAAGGUGAUCUAUUGUUUUGAAUUCUUUAUAUUCCAACUUUUUAGCAACUGUAUGGUGGAAACCUGUUAUCACAAAAGGUCAUUAGCUAGCCCAAUAACGUCUUCAUCCACUAGUUGUACUCUAAUACCCUCUCGUGCGAAUACAAUGCCCUCAAUAUCAUAGAAACACUAUUUUUGUGUGGUGUUUUACUUGAGUGGACAUAAACACCAUCUAAGGAUGCCAUGAAUAGACGGGAUUAUUGGAAACCAGGUAUCACAAAAGGUCAUUAGCUAGCCUAAUAACGUCUUCAUCCACUAGUUGUGCUCUAAUACCCUCUAGUGUGAAUACAAUGCCCUCAAUAUCAUAGAAACGUCAUUUGAGGUUUAAAAGGUGAUCUAUUGUUUUGAAUUCUUUAUAUUCCAACUUUUUAGCAACUGUAUGGUGGAAAAAAGUUGUCUUACAACCUUAACCUAUGUUUGGACAGUUCACUCACGCAAUUUGGCUAAAUUUUCCAUAGUCUUUAUUUUAUUUUGAGAAACGAUGUGGUAUAUUGAUGUGUGGUGUUUUACUUGAGUGGACAUAAACACAAUCUAAGGCUGCCAUGAAUAGACGGGAUUAUAGUUAACAUAUUAUCACAAAAGGUCAUUAGCUAGCCCACUAAUGUCUUCAGCCACUAGUUGUACUCUAAUACCCUCUCGUGCGAAUACAAUGCCCUCAAUAUCAUAGAAACACUAUUUUUGUGUGGUGUUUUACUUGAGUGGACAUAAACACCAUCUAAGGAUGCCAUGAAUAGACGGGAUUAUUGGAAACCAGGUAUCACAAAAGGUCAUUAGCUAGCCCAAUAACGUCUUCAUCCACUAGUUGUACUCUAAUACCCUCUAGUGUGAAUACAAUGCCCACAAUAUCAUAGAAACGUCAUUUGAGGUCAUUAGCUAGCCCAAUAACGUCUUUAUCCACUAGUUGUACUCUAAUACCCUCUAGUGUGAAUACAAUGCCCACAAUAUCAUAGAAACGUCAUUUGAGGUUUAAAAGGUGAUCUAUUGUUUUGAAUUCUUUAUAUUCCAACUUUUUAGCAACUAUAUGGUGGAAAAAAGUUGUCUUACAACCUUAACCUAUGUUUGGACAGUGCACUCACGCAAUUUGGCUAAAUUUUCCAUAGUCUUUAUUUUAUUUUGAGAAACGAUGUGGUAUAUUGAUGUGUGGUGUUUUACUUGAGUGGACAUAAACACAAUCUAAGGAUGCCAUGAAUAGACGAGAUUAUAGUUAACAUAUUAUCACAAAAGGUCAUUAGCUAGCCCAAUAACGUCUUCAUCCACUAGUUAUACUCUAAUACCCUCUAGUGUGAAUACAAUGCCCACAAUAUCAUAGAAACAUCAUUUGAGGUUUAAAAGGUGAUCUAUUGUUUUGAAUUCUUUAUAUUCCAACUUUUUAGCAACUGUAUGGUGUUUUACUUGAGUGUGAAUACCUGAACCACUCUAUUACCUCAAGUUAGCAAUACAAUCAUUUGAGGUUUAAAAGGUGAUCUAUUGUUUUGAAUUCUUUAUAUUCCAACUUUUUAGCAAGUGUAUGGUGGAAAAAGGUGUCUUACAACCUUAACCUAUGUUUGCACAGUUCUCUCGUGCAAUUUGGCUAAAUUUCCCAUGGUCUUUAUUUUAUUUUGAGAAACGAUGUGGUAUAAUGAUGUGCGAUGUUUUACUUGAGUGGACAUAAACACCAUUUAGGUAUGCCUUGAAUAGAGGGGAUUAUUGGAAACCUGGUAUCACAAAAGGUCAUUAGCUAGCCCAAUAACGUCUUCAUCCACUAGUUAUACUCUAAUACCCUCUAGUGUGAAUACAAUGCCCACAAUAUCAUAGAAACGUCAUUUGAGGUUUAAAAGGUGAUCUAUUGUUUUGAAUUCUUUAUAUUCCAACUUUGUUUUACUCAAGUAAAUUUUCCAUAGUUAUUCUUUAUAAUCCCGUCUAUUCAUGGCAUGCCAUGAAUAGACGGGAUUAUUCCCGUCGGUCCAUUUUUAUUCAGGAAGAUUCCCGUCGGCUAUUUUUAUUCCCGUCGGUCCGAGCUCGGGCCGACGGGAAUUAGGUAACUCCCGUCGGCUCAAUUCUAGCCCACGGGCUUUAUUUUAACUCCUGUCGGCCAGCCGCCAGCCGACGGGCUUUAUUUUAACUCCCGUCUGCCCAGCCGCCAGCUGACGGGAGUUAACUAAUUCCCGUCGGCCCUGACGACAGCCGACGGGAAUUAAUUCUUUAUGUUCCGACGGUCAUCCCGCGCGGCUCAUUUUCUCGCUUCCUCUCGGUUUCACGCCGCCGCCGGAGAACUCCCGCCCCCGACGCCGGCCGCCGCCCACCACCGCCCCGGCCAGCCGCCCGCGGCCUAGGAGCGCGCCCGCCGCCGCCCCGGUAGUGCCGCCCGCAACCGUCACCGCCCCGGAGCGCCGUCCGCCGCGCCGCCUCCGCCCCCGUAGCGCCGCCGGCCCCGUAGCGCCGCCCGCCGCCCGCCCACGCCCCCGGAGCGCCGCCCGCUCCAGGAGCAACGACCGCCGCCCGCCCCGCCUUCGGAGCGCCGUCCACCGCGCCGCCGGCCCCGGAGCGCCUUCUGCAGCCCGUCCCCGUUGCGCCGCCCGCCCCCGAAGCGUCGCCCGCUGCUCGCCGCCACCAAUGCCGCCGCCGCGGAGCGCCGCAGCCGCCCCGGACCGUUAAGGUAUAUUAUUGUUUGAAUUAUUUAAUGUAAAUGCGAGUGUUAUUGUUAAAUGUGUGUAUAAAUGUUUAUUUUCGUCGGUUUUUUAUGGCCGACGGGAGUUAAGUUUCAUGUGAUUAGAGUUAGUUUAGGGUGUGAUUAGAGUGUAAUUAGAGUUAGUUUAAUAUAACAUGUGAUUAGAGUGUGAAUAGAGUUAGUUUAAUAUCACAUGUGUGCCUUGAUGUUACGUAUAAGUAUUAAUUCUAUUAUUAUAAUAAAUUUAACUUAUUCUAUUAAAUUGUUGAAUUUGAUGUUAUUUAUUGAAUAGAUUUAACUUAUCAUAUUAGGUUGUAUGAAGGUUUUGCUAUUGAUAAAUUUAAUGUUAUUUAUGUAUAUAACUAUAUAUUUAUGUAUAUAUAUAGUUUUUAUGUAUAUAUAUAGUUAUUCAUGUAUAUAUAUAUAGUUUUACUACUUACCUAUAGAUGUAUGUGUUACGUUUAGAAAUGUGAUAUUGUCUCACACACUCUUUACUCGUACACACAGCCGCAAUAAUGGGUGAUAGACGUGAUUGGAUGUAUGAAGGUUUCAAGAAGGGUGGGUGUCACACAAGUGAAUGGUUUGCCAAGACGCAGAUGUUUCUGGACCAUGCAGCUGCUUUGUCACAAAUAGAUAAUAUUAGGUGUCCAUGCAAUAAAUGUAGAAAUAUGACGAGCCACACCAAGAGGCAGGUCACACUACACCUGUGCUCGCAUGGUUUCGUGCCAGGCUAUAAGGUCUGGUAUCUCCAUGGUGAAGAUGCUGAACGAGCAGCAGAAGUAGAAGUUGAUGACGGUGAAGAUGAUGUUGAUAGGAUGGACCAGAUGCUUGAGGAUCUACAGCCUGAACUGGCACCAGAUCAUCAUGAUUCACCUACACCGGAGGUUCAGAAGUUCUUCGACCUACUUAAAGCGUCAGAAGAGCCUCUUCACGGGCACACUAACGUGACCGUGCUCGAAUUCGUGACCCGACUGAUGUCAAUCAAGUCCAAGUUUGCAUUUUCAAUUAAUUCUUACAAGGAGCUUGUGGAUUUGAUUAGCGAGGUUCUUCCUACGGGUCACAAGAUGCCCAAAGACAUGUACCAGUCCAAAAAAUUGCUUGAAGGUCUUGGUAUGGAGUAUGAGAAGAUUGAUGUUUGCCAAGACAACUGUAUGCUUUUUUGGAAGGAACAUGGCAGAGAACAGAAAUGCUUAAAAUGUGGGAAGUCGAGGUACGUGGAGCUUGUAAAUGAAGAUGGUGAGAAGGUGGUGACAAAGGUUGCACAUAAACAGCUUCGGUACAUGACUCUCACUCCUAGAGUGAAACGUUUGUUUCUCUCGAGGAAGACCGCUAUGCACAUGAGGUGGCAUAAAGAUUGUACGGACAGACAAGAUGGGUUAAUGGUGCACCCGUCAGAUGGUGAUACAUGGAAGGCUCUUGACAAAUUUGAUCCAGAUUUUGCCAGCGAUGCAAGAAAUGUUCGUAUCGGCUUGGCAACUGAUGGUUUCACGCCGUUCAAUAUGACCGCUGGGUCGUAUUCAUGUUGGCCUGUCAUUACCAUACCGUACAACCUUCCACCUGCUCUUUGCAUGAAAUAUGAGUUUAUGUUCCUAUGUCUUGUUAUACCUGGGCCUGAGCAUCCUGGCGUACGCCUCAAUGUGAUGCUUCAACCACUGAUUGAAGAGUUAAAGAAGCUAUGGCAUGGUGUGGAAGCCUAUGACUGCUUCAAGAAGCAGAAAUUCAAUCUUCGUGUUGCAUAUCUGUUCUCGGUUCAUGAUUUUAUGGCGUAUGGUAUUUUCUCUGGAUGGAGCGUGCACGGUAGAUUGACGUGUCCUUAUUGUGCUAAAGAUACAGAUUGUUUUUGUCUUAGUGCUGGUGGCAAGAUAUGUUACUUUGAUUGCCAUAGAUGUUUUCUACCCUUCAAUCACCCCUUCAGAAGGCAGAGAAAGGAAUUUAGGAAGGGCACCAUUGUCACGAAGGGACCGCCCAAGCGACGUAGUGGGAUAGAAAUUACAGAAGAGCAUAUGAAACUUGUCCUAGACGAGAGUGGGAAAAGGUAUCAAGGUUUCGGUGAGGAGCAUAACUGGACUCACAUAUGUGGCUUGUGGGAGCUUCCUUAUGCUAAGUCAUUGAUUUUGAUGGACAACAUCGAUGUCAUGCAUCAAGAGAGUAACUUUUGCCAAGCCCUCAUAAAUACAUGCAUGGAUUUCCCUGAUAAAACGAAAGACAAUGACAAGGCACGCAUGGACUUAGCAGUGAUAUGUGAUCGUCCAACCCAAGUGCUUAGAGAAAACGGAGGCAAACCAAAAGCUGACUAUUGUCUGAAAUCUAAGCAACGGAAAGAAGUGAUGAAGUGGAUGAAGGAUAUUAAAUUCCCCGUUGGUUAUGCCGCUGGUUUUAGAAGAUCUGUGAACUUGAAGACAAUGAAGAUGAAUGGACUGAAGAGCCAUGACUUCCACAUAAUUAUGGAGAGGCUCAUGCCUGUAAUGUUUCGUGGGUACAUUUCCGAAGCUGUGUGGAAAACGUUAGCUGAAGUUAGCUAUUUCUACAGACAGUUGUGUGCUAAAGAAAUCAGAAGAGAUGUGAUGGAACAGCUGGAGAAAGAGGCACCGGUGCUUUUGUGCAAAUUGGAAAAAAUAUUUCCACCGGGUUUCUUCAAUCCUAUGCAGCAUCUCUUUAUACAUCUUCCAUAUGAGGCUAAGGUCGGUGGUCCUGUUCAGUAUAGGUGGAUGUUUCAUAUAGAAAGAGCAUUAAAAAAGCUUAGAGCAAUGGUGGGAAAUAAGGCAAGAGUUGAAGGAUGUAUUGCGGAACAAUUUAAACUAAAGGAGGUAGCACACUUCACAAGUUGUUACUUUGCAGAAGAACAUAAUGUAUUUGCUCGAAAGAAAAGGUACCAUGAUGAUGAACGAGAGAUGCCUCCGUGUAGUGAUCUUUCGAUUUUUCAGACAAACGGCAAAGCCGUUGGUCCACCCAAGGCAUAUCACCUCAGUAUGGAAGAACGGAAGUCUGCUUUACUGUACAUGUUCACGAAUAUGCCUGAGGUGGAGAAAUACUUUUUGUAAGACUUGUUUUCUUAAACUGUUCAUAUGUGAAUUAGUUUAUGUUAUCAAAUAUCUCAUGUCAUACAAUAAUAUUUGACAGCGAGUUUGAUGAACAAAACAUGAGGUGUCUCGGUAGGCCAACAGCGAGAGACAUAGACAAAUUGCGACGCGAUGGUAUGCAUGGGCGACCUAAUUUCAUUAUGUGGCUUCGGGACUGUGUAAGUCUUAAUUAUGUGGCUCCGAGAGCUAAUUUCGUUUAACUAAUAUUACAGAAUUUGCUAAUGCUUUGUGGCAUGAUUGACAGUUUGGGGAGGAAAUGAAUUUGAAUGAUGACUUACGUCAGUUAUCUAUUGGAAGCGUAACUGCCAAAAGCUAUGGACGUUACGACGUCAAUGGAUAUCGCUUUCGUUCAAGCAUUUUCGAAUCAAGUCAUCCUAUGGCCGCCACUCAAAAUAGUGGAGUCGUUACUAGGGCAACCGACAUGGAAGGACACGAAGCCUGCUAUUACGGGAAAAUCAAAAAUAUAAUCGAGAUUACAUUUGCUGGAAAUAAGCCUUUAGCGCUAGUUUUCUUUGAGUGUAAAUGGUAUGACCCGAAGUAUUAUAGGACCGAAUUUGGGAUGACACAGAUCCAACCUGAGAAAUUGCUUCAAGGACACGACACGUAUAUCCUUGCCCAUCAAGCAGACCAAGUUUAUUUCUCGACAUAUCCAUGCAAAAAGUUGUCUAAAUGGAGGGUUGUGUACAAUGUAAAUCCCCGCGAACGCCUAUACACUCCUGGUGAGGACGAAUAUCAAAUUGGUCACCUUGAGCAGGUUGAUGAGGUGUUUCAAGAAGAAGAGUUGCCAACUAGUUUUCAUAUUGAUCCUGCACCGGCAUUAGAUUCACUAGUUGCAGACGUUAACGACUUAACUUUUCCCGAGAGACGGAGAAGACAACCUGUUAGGAGAAAAGUUACAUGGCGACCUCUGCAUAGAAGAGAACAAAUAGAUCCUGAUUUUGAUGAUAUUUAACAAGUAAAGUUGUUUUGUUAUUUCAUUUGUUUAUAUUUUAAGUAUUAUGUCAUUUUGAUGCACUAAUGAAUAAUUUCUUAUUUUUUAUGAAGGAUGCCGCCAAAAUCAAAGAAGUCAGUGAAGGGGUUGUUCAAGGGCCUGGGCCUUUUUCAGGGCAGUUCUUCGAGCAUCAGUAGACGUCGAGAGCUAUUGAGCGCGGUACAUGGAGAUGAGGUAACAUAUCUUGUACAAAUAAAUUUGUUUACAUAUUUACAAAUAAAUCUUGAGUUGUAUGUACCAGGAUGAGCAGCACACUGAGGAGCAGCACAUUGAGAGGAGCAGCACAAUGAGGCUGAGCAGCACAAUGAGGAGGUGGAGCUCAAUGAGGAGGUGGAGCACGUGACAUGGGACCAGGCCGCACAGCAUCACCAGCCAUGGGACCAGUGGGACCACCAGAGAGAGCAGCAACAAGCGUGGGACCAGUGGGGCCAACAGGGCGAACCGACUGACAACCCGAUGGAUGAUGGCUCGGGAGGCUCUUCAGCGACACGCACACGUCGCUCAAGAAAAAGCCACUCAGUAAAGCCUCGUCACGCGAUAGAGCGAGAGGCUGAUAGGACUUUAAUCAUGCCACAUGGAGAUCGGUGAGUGUAAUAUAUUAACUUAUCUAAUAUAACUAUUAUGUGUAUUGUUAAUGUUUUUGUGUAAUGCAGGAAUUGGGAGGACCUGUCCUUUGACGACAAGGGACACCACACUCAGGUUAACCUUACGUUGGGUUCUCUUUGCCGCCUUCACUACCCUGGUAUAGUGAAGGUGUCAAACGGUGAUACCGAGGAUGAGGUGCUCGUCUUUACCUGGGAUGAGUACAAGUUUAAAAAGGAACGAAACCACACCGACAGACAGGGACUUGUGCGUAAUGACUUUUGGGUAUGAAUUCUUUAUUUUUUUGUUAUGUUUCUUAAUAUUGUAAAUCUAUGACUUAUACCAUUUGUAUUCUUUAUGUUGUAGCUUCGAUAUCGGUUGCCUGACGGAGAGGAUUACAUGGGGCACGUUGAACGUGUCUUGCAAAACAAUGCAAAGAAGCUGGUGAAGGAUGUCAUAUACUAUGCGAGAAUUCAGGCUACAAACCUGUAUUUUCAAAAGUAUCCGGAAGAAGCAGGCCCCUUGAAUAAAAAGGAAGGGUCCUCAAAGAUAUAUUUGACUGAGGAUCAAUAUCGUGAGGUUAGUAUUCAAUUUGUUUUACCCUUUAUAUUUAUUGUUGUGAUUGAUAUAAUAUGUAACAUUGUGUGUGUGCAGGUGAUGGUUCCAUGGAUGGCGCCCGUGCCUGAUGCGUACUAUGCUUGGUGUCGAUAUUGGGCUUCCGAAGGCUUCCAGAAAGCGUCAGCGCAUCACAGACAAUGUCGAGGAACCAAUCCUAACCACAAGUUUGGCGGUGACGACAUGAUACGAAAAACUAAAAGAAUGGUAAGUUUCAUCUUUCUAUGUCGAUCAACAAAUAAUACGAUUGCUUAUGAAUGUUUUUUGUUUAUACAGGAAGCUACGAGUGGCCAAAAGCCUAGUGACAUUGAGGUCUACCAGGAGGGCCACAAAGGACCAGACCCGAACAACCCUGACCAGCUCUGCAGCCAGACAGCCACGGAUCGCUUGGUGAGUUUUGGCUCAAAAGUUCAAACGUUUAAAGUAUAUAAAUUCCUGCAUUUGUAAGGUUGUGAAUGAUGUAUAGGCGGCAUAUGGGGAGGAGAUGGUUCGUCGCCAUGGCCCUGACUUUGACUGGCGCCAUGAACUGGUGGAUCCCUCGGUGGUGUAUGCAAGUGGUGGUGGCAAAGCGCAUGGACGGUAAGCUCUAACUUAUGAAAUUAUAUGGUUGACACUAAAUUGAUUAUGCAGUAAUCACUUUUGAAUCACUUAUAGAUACGCACUCUUCGACGAAUUCAUUGACUCGUCGUCGGUGAGAUCUCAGAGGACGGGUUCAUCUUCCCGUAGCUCAUGCUCUCGUCGAUCGAACGAGCAGGAGUUGGAGAUUAUGAGGAUGCGUGAAGAGAUGAGACAACAACGCGAAUUUAUGGAGGCUUGCAAUGCACACAACCAAGCGAUGUAUCAAGUGAGUACACAUAAUCCGAACUCUAAAUUAUUAUAUUUCAAUACAACAUCUUUAGUAGUAACACAUAUGUGUUUAACAGUUAAUGCAGCAACAGGGCAUGACAUCAAAUUUUCCACCGCCACCACAAUGGAGCCAAUUUGCAAACACACCAGUUCCACCACCACAAUUCACCACCCCUCCGACACAUAUACCUGCACCUGGAGAUAGGGUACGUUUGAUAACUCUCCAUUAAUUUAUACAUUUGUAUACUUUUUGAUAUUUGCAUUUAACGUGUUGAUAUUUGCUAACUUGCAUAGGUUACGCCUGAAGCGGGUGGCAGUGGGUCUGAUCCAGCAGUAGGGACUGGAUUUGUUGACUCGCUCUUCGCGUUCCCUCCUCCUGGUGGUGAAGGCGGCAGCGGUCAAAGCUCUAACCACCCAAGUGGUGGUUAUCUCUAAACACUUAAACUUAUGUUUGAAAUGUCGUACUCGUUGGUGGAUGUUAUGUUUCAAUACUAUGUCGUACUCGUUGUUUGAUGUUGGUGAAUGUUAAGUUUGAAUACUAUGUCGUACACGUUGGUGGAUGUUUUAAUUAUAAAUGCAUGUGUUUAUGUCUACAUGCAUGUGUUUGUGCAUGCCGUAUCUCUACAUGUGUUUGUAAUGUGGCUGUUAUAUGUGAUUUAUGUUAUGUUUGAUAUAUGUUAUGUGUGCAGAAAUAGUGACAUAAUUUAGUGUUGUUUUUGUAGCAGUAUAGGGUAAUUCCCGUCGGCCCAGUUAAUUCCCGUCGGCUAUGGUCGAACCGACGGGAAUUAACUACUAACUCCCGUCGGCCCAGUUAAUUCCCGUCGGCCACGUAGGGCCGAUGGGAAUUAAUUAAUAACUCCCGUCGGCCUGGGGAACCGACGAGAAUUAAUUAAUAACUCCCGUCGGCCUGGGGAACCGACGGGAAUUAAUUAAUAACUCCCGUCGGCCUGGGGAACCGACGGGAGUUAGCCUUAAUUCCCGUCGGUCGUUUUCUAGCCGACGGGGAUUAAUUAUUCCCGUCAGCCGCCGACGGGGAUAACCUUAUCCCCGACAAGGGAUGCCUGUCGGCCUGAAACCGACGGGAAUAAGCCUUAAACCGACGGGAAUUACUUAUUCCCGUCGGUUUAUUACUUAUUCCCGUCGGUUUUAGGCCGACGGGAAUUAAGUAAAUUCCUGUGAGGGCAUUGUAUUCGCACGUGCGCAUCCUUAGAUGGUGUUUAUGUCCACUCAAGUAAAACACCACACAAAAAUAGUGUUUCUAUGAUAUUGAGGGCAUUGUAUUCGCACGUGCGAAUACAAUGCCCUCAAUAUCAUAGAAACACUAGUUGUACUCUAAUACCCUCUAGUGUGAAUACAAUGCCCACAAUAUCAUAGAAACGUCAUUUGAGGUUUAAAAGGUGAUCUAUUGUUUUGAAUUCUUUAUAUUCAAACUUUUUAGCAACUGUGGUGUUUUACUUGAGUGGACAUAAACACCAUUUGGGUAUGCGAAUACAAUGCCCUCAAUAUCAUAGAAACAUUAUUUUUGUGUGGCAACUAUACAAUAUCAUAGAAACGUCAUUGCUAAUGACCUUUUGUGAUAACAGGUUUCCACCAUACAGUUGCUAAAAAGUUGGAAUAUAAAGAAUUCAAAACAAUAGAUCACCUUUUAAACCUCAAAUGACGUUUCUAUGAUAUUGUGGGCAUUGUAUUCACACUAGAGGAAAAUCAUCUAAGGAUGCCAUGAAUAGACGGGAUUAUUGGGCUAGCUAAUGACCAUAGUCUUUAUUUUAUUUUGAGAAACGAUGUGGUAUAUUGAUGUGUGAUGUUUUACUUGAGUGGACAUAAACACAAUCUAAGGAUGCCAUGAAUAGAUGGGAUUAUUAGAAACCUGGUAUCACAAAAGGUCAUUAGCAAGCCCACUAACGUCUUCAUCCACUAGUUGUACUCUAAUACCCUCUAGUGUGAAUACAAUGCCCACAAUAUCAUAGAAACGUCGUUAUUGGGCUAGCUAAUGACCUUUUGUGAUACCUGGUUUCCAAUAAUCCCGUCUAUUCAUGGCAUCCUUAGAUGGUGUUUAUGUCCACUCAAGUAAAACACCACACAAAAAUAGUGUUUCUAUGAUAUUGAGGGCAUUGUAUUCCCACGAGAGGGUAUUGAGGGUAUUAGUGUUUCUAUGAUAUUGAGGGGUUGUACUCUAAUACCCUCUCGUGUGAAUACAAUGCCCACAAUAUCAUAGAAACGUCAUUUGAGGCCCUUGAGUGGACAUAAACACAAUCUAAGGAUGCCAUGAAUAGACGGGAUUAUAGUUAACAUAUUAUCACAAAAGGUCAUUAGCUAGCCCAAUAACGUCUUCAUGCACACAAAAAUAGUGUUUCUAUGAUCACAAAAAUAGUGUUUCUAUGAUAUUGAGGGCAUUGUAUUCGCACGAGAGGGUAUUAGAGUACAACUAGUGGAUGAAGACGUUAUUGGGCUAGCUAAUGACCUUUUGUGAUACCUGGUUUCCAAUAAUCCCGUCUAUUCAUGGCAUCCUUAGAUGGUGUUUAUGUCCACUCAAGUAAAACACCACACAAAAAUAGUGUUUCUAUGAUAUUGAGGGCAUUGUAUUCGCACGAGAGGGUAUUAGAGUACAACUAGUGGUGCUAAUACCCUCUCGUGCGUAAUACCGUCUCGUGCGAAUACAAUGCCCACAAUAUCAUAGAAACGUCAUUUGAGGUUUAAAAGGUGAUCUAUUGUUUUGAAUUCUUUAUAUUCCAACUUUUUAGCAACUGUAUGGUGGAAACCAGGUAUCACAAAAGGUCAUUAGCUAGCCCAAUAACGUCUUCAUCCACUAGUUGUACUCUAAUACCCUCUCGUGCGAAUACAAUGCCCUCAAUAUCAUAGAAACGUCAUUUGAGGUUUAAAAGGUGAUCUAUUGUUUUGAAUUCUUUAUAUUCCAACUUUUUAGCAACUGUAUGGUGGAAAAAGGUGCCUUACAACCUUAACAUAUGUUUGGAUAGUUCUCUCUCUCAAUUUGGCUAAAUUUUCCAUAGUCUUUAUUUUAUUUUGAGAAACGAUGUGGUAUAUUGAUGUGUGGUGUUUUACUUGAGUGGACAUAAACACAAUCUAAGGAUGCCAUGAAUAGACGGGAUUAUAGUUAACAUAUUAUCACAAAAGGUCAUUAGCUAGCCCAAUAACGUCUUCAUCCACUAGUUGAUGUGUGGUGUUUUACUUGAGUGGACAUGUUGGGACUAUGCUUCGUCGCCUAAGGUCUUGUAGGGAGAAAUAGUUUCGGCUGAAGCUGUCCGCAUGUGAUGACCGAAGGUUCCUCAAUAUGAAGCUUCAGAAUUACAAACCGACUUAAGAGUAGAAUGACCUUACAGUCCAUAAAUCUUUGAGUCGUUGUUGUAAUUCCUUAUAAGGGACAUAAUUGUAAUUCUUCAUAGGCUGUGUCCCGUGCUUAUAAAUAGUGAACAGUAUCCCUUUAUUGUUCACGCAUUCCUGUAAUUGCAAUCGCAUCAUUCGGGAAUCAAUCUUUGUCAAGGCAAAGGUAUAAUUGUAUCCAAUAUUUAAACACAUUAAAUCGAUAUAAUAUGAAAGUAAUAUAAUUCAUUUAUAAUUUGUUUACCUUUGACGCCUCGUAUUUUACCUUAUUUAAACUAUUAUAAUUCGAUUACGAAGAUUUGACCUUCGUAAUUGUAUUGUCUUUAACCUUCGUCCAAAGUUCAUUAAUCCCUAAGGGAAUAAUGUUUCGUUGGAUGAAGGGCAUUAACAUCUAACAUUUUUUAUGUUGCCUUGUUCUUAAUUCAUAGCAUUUGAGAACAAGUCCCCAACAGGACAUAAACACAAUCUAAGGAUGCCAUUCACAAAAGGUCAUUAGCUAGCCCACUAAUGUCUUCAUCCACUAGUUGUACUCUAAUACCCUCUCGUGCGAAUACA